GACAGAGGGGGCAAGCGUUGCUCGGAAUCACUGGGCGUAAAGGGCGCGUAGGCGGGAUGGCAAGUCGGUCGUGAAAUCUCUCGGAUCAACCGAGAAACGUCGGCCGAUACUGCCGUUCUUGAGGGAUGCAGAGGAGACUGGAAUUCCCGGUGUAGCGGUGAAAUGUGUAGAGAUCGGGAGGAACACCGAUGGCGAAGGCGGCCUGCUGGGCAGUUGCUGACACUGAGGCGCGACAGCGUGGGGAGCAAACAGG
Molecule: ribosomal RNA, 253 nt
Filed under: uncultured bacterium
Lineage: Bacteria
Description: partial 16S ribosomal RNA
Rfam family: Bacterial small subunit ribosomal RNA
Source: RNAcentral